GCCGGGUGUGGUGGCGCAUGCCUGUAGUCCCAGCUACUAGGAAGGCUGAGGCAGGAGAAUCACUUGAACCCGGGAGGCAGAGGUUGCAGUGAGCCAAGAUGGCACCACUGCACUCCAGCCUGGGUGACAGAGUGAGAUUCUGUCUCAA
RNAcentral lists this non-coding RNA (148 nucleotides) under Gorilla gorilla gorilla (western lowland gorilla). Lineage: Eukaryota; Metazoa; Chordata; Mammalia; Primates; Hominidae. The record is from Rfam by way of RNAcentral.